Long non-coding RNA from Aethalodelphis obliquidens (Pacific white-sided dolphin), 4641 nucleotides. RefSeq lists it as uncharacterized. The record is from RefSeq and is a predicted model, not a curated record. Lineage: Eukaryota; Metazoa; Chordata; Mammalia; Artiodactyla; Delphinidae. The transcript has 5 exons.
AAACCUACAUGGCCACUGCUUCAAAUUUGUUCCAGAUGGAUUUAGUCAUAGAAUGAUUGAUUAUCCACUCAGUUGCGAGCUAUGUGGUUAAGCUCAGAAAUCUACAACAAACUGAUCUGGAGCUGUGUUUCACGAUGGAGUGCCAAGGCCAAGGGUCAGGCAGGCUCACAGAUGGACCUUUGGAACUAAUCCAGAUUCAGAGCAACACUGAACCCAUCCAUCCAGAGCCAAAGGCAGGUCUGGACAUUCAUGGAUGGAAUUUACCUAAGGUGAGGCUCACCUGUGGAAGUGACAGUGGCAGGCCCCAGCAAAUGGGAAUCCCAGGCAGAAUUCAAACACUGCCUCUGAGCAACAGUGACUCUCCAUGGCAAGUGGCAGAUGCAUUAGUUCAGGAAGCUGGCUUGUCCUGUGGUCGUCAAGUAUCAGGAAGAACUCAGUACACCUUUGUUGGCUGGUUGAUUUUGCAAGUCCUUGGAUGUUCCUUUUUUUAGCUUUAAGUGAUAUAUAGAAAAGUAUACUCUUCCACUUAGAGUUAAUACAGAUGAUGGAAGAAGGAAUUGUAUGUAUAGCAGCUAAUAUGGAUCUACACUUGUCACGUAAGUGCUCCAUGAAUGUGACUUUUCUUCUCUCCUCAGGUGAGUGGUGGCCCAUCUACCUGCCAAGGGACAACUGUGCUAGAAUGGGUAGGAAUUAAAACUGGAGUCAGUGGUUUCUCACCUUGGCCUGUGGUCCUCUGUAGGCAGGCAGGGUUAGGAGAGGGGUGGAGGAAAGGUUUGCAGAGUUAUCUGCAAAAGAUUUAAAUUUUAUAUGUGCAUCAAACAUUGCAUAUAGAUGAAUUAAACACAAUCUCUUGCACAUAGUUCCUUCUCACUCUCAAAUAUCUAUUUGCACACUAUUGUGGUAAACAUAUACAUGUUUAUCUAUAAUCACUACAAAAUGAAUUGUAGUUUUUUGCCAUCCUUUGUUUUCUCAGCUGCUAUCAAGUGAUGUCUAAGAAAUGUUUUGAAUAGAAAAGGUUUUUUCCUCCUGUUGAAAAACAGUGGGAACUGCCGUUCUAUAGCAUUGCUUAAGGUAAGGCUUCCCAGGUGUAGUCCUAAGACCUGUCGUACCUGUUUAAAGUGCAGUUGCCCAGCUCCACCCCUCACAGUCUGGAUUAGAAUCUCCCAGGCUAGGAACUGGAAAUCUGCUUUCUAACAAAUGUCCUGAUGUCAAUUUUCCCAUGCAUUGAGAACGCCGGGCUUAAGAUAGUCGGAAAAUACGUUGACAGAAUCAGGAAUCAGGUUCAGGAGGUUAAAGCUUUGUUUCUUCAAGUUUUACCUGAAGAUGGAAUAUUAUUUCUUUCUCGUUUAAAUCCUUGCAUACUAUCCAAAAACUGGCUAGAAUAUCAAUCAUGUCAGAUAGUCUAAUGACAAUUUUAAAGCACCGUAUCCCUGCUGGAACUCUAAAACCGAAGACAGAUGGUUUUGGAUCAUCUACAGAUGAGGCUUAGUCACACAACUAUUUGCCUUCAUCGGUGUGCACUGAAAUACAAUGUGAAUUAAAUUACAGUGGGCAGGGGAGCUGGACUACAGAUCUGAAAUCAUUAGCAGCUCCUGAGAGCAUCCACCUGAGUUGUGUGUAUUUAAAUAUAAUCUUCAAUACAAUUAAGAAACAUUUACCACCAUCUGUGUUGUCAUAGCAAAGUGCAGGGGCAGCAAAUAUCUGGUCUACGUUUUGACAUCCUCCCCACCCCCACCAGUUUGCAUGGCAGCUAGACGUUUCUAAUCAAUUCUAGCAAUCCUUCCCCUUAAGUCAGGAUAUUUAUGCCUCAGAAUGCUUUUCCCCAGGCAGCUGUUAGCAGAUGGGAUGAUGGAGGAUGAAACCUAUUUGCUACGUCUGGGAUGGUGAAGGGCAUGGGCUUUGCAGUCGUGGGUUUAGGGGGUUCAAAUCCCAGUUUUGCCACUCACAGGUUGUGAGACAGAGCAAGAUACUUACAAAAUUUAGGUACUCUUGCAGCCUCAUUCUCCUUAUUUGCACAAGUGGGAUUACAGCCCCAUUUCACAGGAUUAUUGUGAAGGUGACAGAAAGAAUACAUGUAAAUUGCUUAGUAUUCCUAGCACAUAGCGAGUACUCAAUAAAUUUUAGUUUUUGUUAUUUUUAAUCUAGCUUGAAAUGAUGUGAUGGGCGCAAGGAGAAAGGGACUCAUUUUGCAGGACUGCUUGAGUUCUAUAAAGCAGGUGUGGAAGAUUUUAUUAGCAGAGUGCUUCCUUACUGCAACCCUCUCUCUGGGAUUAUGGCCCACAUUUACUGAGGGCUUAACAAUUACAGAAACUGUUCUAAGUACUUUUUGAGGAGUAACUAAUUUAAUCCUCACAAGAACCCAGUGAAGUAGAUGUUCUUAUCCCCAGUUUAUAGAGGCAGCACCUGAGGCAUAAAGAGGUUAAGCAGCUCAUAAGGGACGUGCCGUUUGAAAUGGGGACUCCGGCCAGCAGCCGCACUUGGAACUUGUGAAAAGGCAGAUUCUCAGGCCCUGCCCCUGACUCCCUGCAUCAGAACUCUGUGGGUGGGCCCAGAAAUCUUUGUUUGAACAAGCCCUCCAGGCGAUUCUGAGGCACAUCAAGCUUUCAGAACCACAAUCCAGAAGGCAAAGGAGCAUUGGCAGGACAAGAAGUCCAUCAGGAGUGAGGUGAGCGGAUGAAGAAGCAUGUCGCCAUUAAGGAAGGGUGAGUGUCUUUUCAGAACUUUGAUUCCUAGCUGUACCUUCCAGUAUUCAUCUGGGAAUUCUGUGUGUUUUUUCCUGUUUAUGAGGAAAAUUGGUUUAUUUGUUCUAUUGUUUGUUUUGUUUUUUUUUUUACUUUGUGUUACAAGUUCCACUAGAACAAAUAAGAAACCCCUUGUCUGUCUAGCACCUGCCAGAGAAGUAACCCUCAUCAGUGGAGGGAGGGGAUCAAAUGCCUAGCAUGGUGGAAACUUACCAGCUCCCAAGGUCUGGGCAGUGGAUCUGAAACUUCAGAGUCCCUGCGAAUCAGCUGGAACCUUUGUUAAAAUGAAGAUUCUCAGGUCCUGCUCUCCCCUAUUCUGAUUCAGUAGGUCUGAGGUAGAGCCCAGGAAUCUGCAUUUUAAUAAGCAUCUAGUCCAUAUGCCUCACCUUGAGAAAUAGAAGUUUGCUGGUGGUAACAGGGGUGUCAGACCAUGUCAUAUCCAGCCUUUGGAUGACAUAGGAGUUGGGGUGGGAGUAGUGAACCAAUGUCCAGACUAGGAGAGUGAGACAGUAGUACAGGAGCCAGGGCAACAAGGUAGCAAUCUAUAUCCUCACACUGUUCCUCCCCUCCUCUAUCCCUUUCCCACUGCCUUCUCUUCCAAAAGGUGUUUCUGAAGGUUCUCUGAGAAGGACAAUUUAUUAUACAUAAAACAGCUUUCAGCAAAGCUCAGCCAGUCGUGAGGAGGGGAUCUGGAGGGCUCCAAGCUGACCUCUCCUCCACUUCACCCCUUGAGGAAGCUCGUGAGGUAGGGCCAUAGACACUUUAAACUUCCCUCAGGAUUAGUUUGAAAAUAGCCUUAAUCUAACCCCCAUUUUACUGAUGAAGAAACUGAGGCCUAGAGAGGUGAAGAGACUUGUGUAAGGCUGGCUGGAGGCAUCACUAGAUGAUUACCCUCAUCUACUCAUUCUCAGGCCACUGAGAUUUCCAAGCUAUGUUCAUUAGAACAUCAGUGUCCAAUAUGAGGUCCAUAGGUGUUCUGGAGAACAUAGGGGUGAGCUGGGGCCUUAUAAGCAAGUGCAAAACACUGGAUGCAGCCCAUCUAAGCAGGUUUCCUUAUGGGAGGAUUUCACAGAUGCUUGUAUAUUCUGAUGCGAAUUGUGAAUCUCCAAUAAAGGUUAUGGAGGCAGACUUUUCCAAACUCAUUUAAUAACAGACGCUCCCCUCACCCCUUGUAACAUAUUAUCAAGCCUCUCAAAGGACACUAUUGUUGUAAAGAAAACUGUUUGGUGAUAGUUGUAAUACUCGGUGCUGCCCUGAGAAAAGCUGGAGAGAGUCCACAGUCACUAAAGAUCAGAGUCUUAGGAGGUUACGAAUUCACACAGACUUGCUCUGGACUAGCCACCUGUGAACUGCCAUACGUGAGCUCCAGGUGGAUCUGUGUGACCUGUUCCUAUGAGAGGGAAGCCACAGAAGGUCAGGAAAAGCUGUAAGCUGGCUGACGCAGUGGCUGCAGAAUGGGUGUCCGCCCUACCCCCCUUUGGAUGCAAAAGUUCAGCGCUCAGAAUUGCUCAGCUAGAAGGACGACAGUGCUGAGUGUGUCAGGGAGGCAAUGCCAGCUCAGUGUUCAGCUGAAGACAUGAGGAAGGGCUGCUAUGGUCAAGGCUCAAGCCAGGGGCAGGCAGGAUGGGAGAAAUCCCCUGCUGCCUGCCCCUGGAGAAGACCUAUUAACAGGAAAGUCGACAGAGCCAAGAAGUGCUGGGCCAUCAGUCACGGUGUGGCCCCCACUUCAGGAGACGGCCGGUCAAGGGGAAAUUAUGCUGGCAGCUUUGUCUUCUUUUCUGACCUUUUUUUUUUUUUUUUUUUUUUGGGUUUUUGGGCCUCCCCCUUUUUUGGCCUUCCCCAUUGCGGGGCCCGGGCUCUGGACACGCAGGCUCAGCGGCCAUGGCUCACGGGCCCAGCC